RNAcentral lists this non-coding RNA (179 nucleotides) under Anaerosporomusa subterranea. The record is from RNAcentral. Lineage: Bacteria; Bacillati; Bacillota; Negativicutes; Acetonemataceae.
AGUAGAUUAGUGGGGAUAGGUGCUUCGUGAAGCUUAAUUGGGAAGUCCGGUGCGAUGCCGGCACGGUCCCGCCACUGUAAAGGGGAGCCUGUUCUGCGAUAUACCACUGGGUUUAUUCCGGGAAGGUGCAGACAGCAAUGAUCCCAAGUCAGGAGACCUACCUAUUCUGACACACCGUU